This is a long non-coding RNA of Meriones unguiculatus (Mongolian gerbil), 4104 nucleotides long. RefSeq lists it as uncharacterized. Lineage: Eukaryota; Metazoa; Chordata; Mammalia; Rodentia; Muridae. The record is from RefSeq and is a predicted model, not a curated record. The transcript has 3 exons.
GUGGCCUCAGCUGUUUCGUAAUGAACCUGGCACAGCAUCACCACGACAUAGCCACAAUAAUGAAUGACUGCGCCGCCGUGUGGCGCUGAGAGGGUGAGGAAUUGGAGUAGCUCCUGGGAUUCACCUGAGCCUGGGUGGCUCCAUCCAGACCUGCAUUAAGAACUCUACCAGAUCACAACUCAAAGUCUUGCCUGUCUCUGAAAAACCAGGCCUGAGCAAUGGAGCAGAUGCCGCCAGCUACCAAGGAAAAGAAGCCUGAGAGACUGUGACUUCACAGAGACUUUUUGCUGGCGCCCUGAGACCAGACUCCAGAUGUGGCCACAGCACCUUCGCCAGCAGGCUUGCAUCUCCCAGUCCCCUCACACCAUCCAGUUAGAAUUUCCCUGCUUCCUGCAAACACACCCAGUCCUACUGAGAUGUCAGGGACCUUGUGGGACGUCUCCUUAGCUUGGAACCUUGUGGAGUCCACUAUGUAACCACUGGAUCUUGUCUCUUUGGCUGUUUGUGCUGAAAUGAACACUUAAAACUCUAGACCUCACUUGAUACACCUGGAAAGCAGAAACUCAGCUUAAUCAAUGCCCAACAUUGACUGGGCAUUGAAGUAGCCGGUAGACUGUAGACUGUAGCAGAGGGGCCCAGAGGCAAAGGUUAGUGAGAUGUGAUUUCUUUUCUCAAAAUUCAAGUCAAGGAGAGAAGGGAGAGAUUUAAGAAGAAGAACCUAAGGAGUGGAAUAAGGUUGACCUAGAAGGAAGAACUCUACAAGCUGAACACAGUGCAAACUCCCAGGCUCAAGCCACAAGACGCUAAGGCCAGCCUGGGCAAUAUAGCAGAACCCAAUCACUCUCACACAAGUGAAUACCUGUUUUUCUCACUUCUCAGUGUUACUCUAAGAAUGAAAUGAAGGGUGUGCGCUGUUUGUGAGGCUCUCUACAAAUGUAAGCAGAUAUGACCUCUUUACACGGCUUCUGUGGGAAACACUGGCUGAGCUGUCUGCACAAAUCUUUUAACAAAAACAACUCCUACAGCUGAAUCCACAAGGGAGGAGAGGCACCUCCCCAUGGUACCCGACCAUUUUGACCAUUUGGUUAACUAAGCGCAUGCAACUGAGAGAAUGGGAUGGAAUCAGGUGAGCUCCUGGACACCUUUGUUCUGGGUUUGGAACAGGAUGAAGGGAAUCCAGUCUCACUCUGGGUGAGAAGAAAACCAAAGAUUGCCAGAUGAGAGCAGCAGGAGGAGGAUGGAGCAGAGGUCCAGAGAGGAAGGGAAGCAAGAAGCAGAGGUUUCCAGGAUCUGAAUCAUGUCUGCCCCUGCCUGCUAGAAACAAUAUCCCCAAAGAGGCCAUCUGUUUGCUGAAGGAAAGAGGAAAGGCAUCUCAAUGAUGAUGGCCACUCAAAGGUCACUUGAGAGACUGUGUUUAUCUAUUUAUGCAGAUCAUCAAUUUGAUCAUUGAUAAUAUGAGAGAAAUCUGACACAUUAAAGAAACACAGGCCAAGAAGUAAAGUAUUUGGAUCCUGCAGUGACAAGCUGAGAGUUAACAUAUGAUAUAGUCAAUAAAUGUAACAUCAUUUUGGGGUCAGUAGCAUUGGGUCCUUGUUGUCUCUCCAAGAUGUCAUCUUGAUGCGUUAAAGUCUUGAUGCCUCCCCAAGUCGUUAGCUUAUUCUUUCUCUUGGGAUAUCUCCUCUUGGCGUGUUUGUUGUCUUCCUUCAGAUGCUUCAUUUGCCCAGUGUUCUCCAGGAUGCUGACCUGCUCAGAUGUAUGGGAACUGAAAACAUCUGGGGCUUUGUUCAUCUUCUGAUAAGACACAAGUGUAAACCUCCCCUGAUGGUAGAAGAACACGGAUCCUUUCCACUGAUUAGUCUCUAGAGCUUUCAUUUAACACGUACUGUGUCUCCUUUAGGGAAAAAUUAUUUGGGGCAACAGAGAAAGCAUAGAAUCCUUUAAAGUGAAACAAAACAAAACAAACAAACAAACAAAAAAAACCCCCAAACCUAAAGUAAGCAUGGCUAAAUAUAGCCCAGCAUGUGGGGAUUUGGGUGGGUGCAUAUUCCCCCUUCUCAUUUUUAAAACUUGUUGUUUAAGUAUUUCAUGGUGUCUUUCCACAAUAGCUUUAACCCUGUGGGUUGUAAGGGACUCCAGUCAUGCGAUUAAUAUUUUGUAAUUGUAAAAUUUCUUAAAGCGUUUGCUGGUAUAAGCAGGACCAUUCUCAGUUUUUAGUUGGAAGGUUUUCCCUGGAAAGGGAAAGGUGUGUAAUAAAUGAUAAUGGCAUCACUAUGUGACCAGAAGCAACAGUCAUAUUUUUAAAAAGUAUCAACUGUUGCAUGAGCAUAUUUUAAACAUCAAAAUUCAGAAUAUGAGUAACAGCUGUUUGCCAAGUGACAUUAGAUUUUAACGCUCAAAGAUUCAUUCCACCAGCAGGUGGCAGUGGGGUAAAAGAACAGAAAGGGCAGGCUCCAAUGAUUUGUUGAGCUUGUUCAUGAGGUAGAAAGAAUUAAACUUGCAGUGAUCUUUGUAUUUUGAUAAAGAAGUUCAUGAGAUUUCCCAAGGGGACUGAAAUAAGAAUGUUAUAUGUGAAAAAAAGGCCAAUGCAUUGGCUUGAGCAUUAGUGGGUGUGAACGGAUGAGAAGGAGCAUGAAAAUAAGUAAUGAAAAAAUAUUGAGAUUAUUGUUAUAUAGAUGUCUGAAGGGACAGAAACAAUUGUGAAAUAGCUUUAAUAGUUGGAUUGGGUUUAAGUCUUUCUUUUCCUCCUCCUCCUCCUCCUCCUCUUCUUCUUCUUUGUCUUCUUCUUCUUAAUUUUGGAUUUUCCAGAAAGGGUUUCUCUAUGUAGCCCUGGCUGUCCUGGUACUCACUCCAUAGUCCAGGCUGGCCUCAAACUCAGAGAUCUGUCUGCCUCUGUCUGCCUCUGCCUCCCGAGUGCUGGGAUUUAAGGCAUGCACCACCACUGCCUGGCUAACUCUUGCAGUUUCCAAAAGAGAAGCAGUUUGAGCACAAAUGGAAAGCCUGCUAAAAGCUGAUCGGUUACAGCGAGUUUAGACUGUUGAGCUGUUCAACCAGGGGUGGAUACAAGCUUUUUGUGUGUGUGUGAAGGAUAUGGAAUUUAUAUAUAAAACAUAAGCUCCUUUCCCUUUGAAGGGCCAUCUGUAAACACAUUAAAAGUUAUCUCUAUAGGAUUUUUAGAUGUAAUUUUAAGUAAUGCCCAUGGACUAUCUUCAAAUAUUCUUAAAAGGGGAGCUUUAGAAUAAUGACUAUUUAUAGAUCCCAAGUAAUGUGCUAAUGCUACCUGCCAAUUAUGAUCAUUGUGGAACAAAUAAUCAAACUUGCCCCCACAAGGAGAUCAACAAAGCUAAAAAAUCAUGAGCCCAGAGGAUCCUGCAGAGACUGAUGCACCAACCAAGGACCAUGCAUGGAGAGGACCUAGACUUCCUGCUUAGAUGUAGCCAAUUGGCAGCUCAGUCUCCCUGUGGGUUCCCGAGGAAGGGGAGCAGGGGCUGCCUCUGUCAUGAACUCAAUUGCCUGCUCUUUGAUCACUUGCCUCUGGUGAUGUAGCCUUGCCAGGUCACAGAGGAAGAGGAUCCAGGCAGUCCUGAUCAGACUUGAUAAGCUAUGGGCAGAUGGCAGAGGAGAACUCCCCCUUUCAGUGGACUAGGGGAAGGGGAUAAAGAGGAAGAGGGAUGGAGGAUGGGACUGGGAAGAGCUGAGGGAAAUCGGGAUAGAUAAUGAAUAAAUUGUUUAAAAGGGGGGGAGAGUUGACAAAAUACAGUUUGGCAGUUAUUAAAAACAAACAAACCAACCUGUGUUUAUUUAACGGCACAAUGAUUUUGGUGGCUCCUUACCGGUAAGUGGUUUAAGACAUCCCUUCCCAUCAUUAUUAAUUCUAUAGUUUCUUGUAAAUACCGAGUUACAGAUUGUUGUGGAAAGCUAUGACAUGCAUACAUUUCUAUAAUACCUUGUUGAUUUAUAAUUCCAGUGGGUGAUGAGAACAAAGGCAGGAUAAGUAACUGAUAAGGAAGUAGCCGAUUCAUCCUAUGACCUACUGUUUUAGCAGCAGCUAAAUCUUUGGUAGUACGAGGCAUAUAAGAACAUACCCAAUUGACAUGGACCCAAUUU